RNAcentral lists this non-coding RNA (23 nucleotides) under Cricetulus griseus (Chinese hamster). Lineage: Eukaryota; Metazoa; Chordata; Mammalia; Rodentia; Cricetidae. The record is from RNAcentral.
UCUGGUCCUACACCUAGGCAUCA